Molecule: ribosomal RNA, 243 nt
Filed under: uncultured Actinomycetales bacterium
Lineage: Bacteria; Bacillati; Actinomycetota; Actinomycetes; Actinomycetales
Description: partial 16S ribosomal RNA
Rfam family: Bacterial small subunit ribosomal RNA
Source: RNAcentral
UACUCGAGUGGCGAACGGGUGAGUAACACGUGGGUGAUCUGCCCUGCACUUCGGGAUAAGCUUGGGAAACUGGGUCUAAUACCGGAUAGGAACCAUCGUUAGUGUGGUGGUUGGAAAGUUUUUUCGGUGUAGGAUGAGCUCGCGGCCUAUCAGCUUGUUGGUGGGGUAAUGGCCUACCAAGGCGGCGACGGGUAGCCGGCCUGAGAGGGUGUACGGCCACAUUGGGACUGAGAUACGGCCCAG